GGUCUCGUGGCCCAAUGGCAAGGCGUCUGACUACGACUCGACCAUCUACAAAAUGGCGGGCAAUCAGGAGAUUGUCGGUUCGAUCCCGGCCGAGAUCA
Molecule: non-coding RNA, 98 nt
Organism: Xylaria sp. FL0064
Lineage: Eukaryota; Fungi; Ascomycota; Sordariomycetes; Xylariales; Xylariaceae
Source: the annotation of a GenBank genome assembly